This is a non-coding RNA of Paramuricea clavata, 91 nucleotides long. NCBI's taxonomy places the organism in Eukaryota, Metazoa, Cnidaria, Anthozoa, Malacalcyonacea, Plexauridae. The record is from the annotation of a GenBank genome assembly.
GUACUUGCAGGUUCGGUGAGUCCGGGAUUGGACGCACCUCGGGUGCCAGCCACCCUCGGUGCGUCCAAUCCCGGACUCACCUCCCUGCAAG